This 90-nucleotide transfer RNA is filed under the name Pseudomonadota bacterium. RNAcentral describes it as "Proteobacteria bacterium tRNA-Ser". It matches the Rfam family "tRNA". From Rfam's summary of the family: Transfer RNA (tRNA) molecules are approximately 80 nucleotides in length. Their secondary structure includes four short double-helical elements and three loops (D, anti-codon, and T loops). Lineage: Bacteria; Pseudomonadati; Pseudomonadota. The record is from RNAcentral.
GGAGAGAUGGCUGAGUGGCCUAAAGCACCGGUUUUGAAAACCGGCGGUGGGGUAACCCACCCUAGGGUUCGAAUCCCUAUCUCUCCGCCA